Non-coding RNA from Bemisia tabaci, 72 nucleotides. The record is from the annotation of a RefSeq genome assembly. NCBI's taxonomy places the organism in Eukaryota, Metazoa, Arthropoda, Insecta, Hemiptera, Aleyrodidae.
GGUCCUGUGGCGCAGCGGUUAACGCAUAAUCACUCUGAGAUUAAGACCCAGGUUCAAAUCCUGGCAGGACCC